This 347-nucleotide ribosomal RNA is filed under the name uncultured bacterium. RNAcentral describes it as "bacterial SSU rRNA". It matches the Rfam family "Bacterial small subunit ribosomal RNA", at positions 917 to 1267 of the family's 1533-position model. The record is from RNAcentral.
GGGCCCGCACAAGCGGUGGAGCAUGUGGUUUAAUUCGAUGAUACGCGAGGAACCUUACCAGGGCUUAAAUGUACGUUGCAUGAUUUAGAGAUAGAUCUUUCUUCGGACUACUUACAAGGUGCUGCAUGGUUGUCGUCAGCUCGUGCCGUGAGGUGUCAGGUUAAGUCCUAUAACGAGCGCAACCCCUAUCGUUAGUUGCCAACAGGUUAAGCUGGGAACUCUAACGAGACUGCCGGUGCAAACCGCGAGGAAGGUGGGGAUGACGUCAAAUCAUCACGGCCCUUACGUCCUGGCUACACACGUGCUACAAUGGCCGGUACAGAGAGCAGCCACUACGCGAGUAGGAG